ACUCAAAUGAAUUGACGGGGGCCCGCACAAGCAGUGGAGUAUGUGGUUUAAUUCGAAGCAACGCGAAGAACCUUACCAGGGCUUGACAUAGCAUUGACCGCUUUAGAGAUAGAGCUUUCCUUCGGGACAAUGUAUACAGGUGGUGCAUGGUUGUCGUCAGCUCGUGUCGUGAGAUGUUGGGUUAAGUCCCGCAACGAGCGCAACCCCUGUUGUUAGUUGCCAUCAUUAAGUUGGGCACUCUAGCGAGACUGCCGGUGAUAAAUCGGAGGAAGGUGGGGACGACGUCAAAUCAUCAUGCCCCUUAUGUCCUGGGCUACACACGUACUACAAUGGCUAUUACAGAGCGAUGCAAUACCGUAAGGUGGAGCCAAACGCAAAAAAUAGUCCCAGUUCAGAUUGUGGGCUGAAACUCGCCCACAUGAAGUCGGAAUUGCUAGUAAUGGCAGGUCAGCAUACUGCCGUGAAUACGUUCCCGGGCCUUGUACACACCGCCCGU
Molecule: ribosomal RNA, 496 nt
Filed under: uncultured bacterium
Lineage: Bacteria
Description: partial 16S ribosomal RNA
Rfam family: Bacterial small subunit ribosomal RNA
Source: RNAcentral